GCCUUAGUUUUGAAUCUAAGGUGAUGCCUGCCCAGUGAUAAUAAAAAUAAUUUUAAUGAAAUUUUAGUUUUAUUAAACGGAUGCGGUAACUCUGACCGUAAUAAAGUAGCAUAAUAAAUUGUCAUUUAAUUGGUGGAGUGUAUGAAUGGUAAUACGAUUACUUCAUUGUCUCAGAUAAAAUUCUUUAAAAUUGAAAUAAUAGUGAAGAUUCUAUUAGAAAUCGUAAGACGAAAAGACCCUAUAGAGCUUAACUAUAGCUCUAAAUUUAUUUAGAGUUGGUAGUUUAGUUGGGGCGACUAUCUUUUAUAAUCAACAAAGAUAAGUAAUAUUAAUAAAUUUAAUUUAUUGUUUAAUUUAUAAAUUUAACAAUUAAGAAAUUAGGCUAUAUUGACCCAUUAAGUAAGAAUUAAUAACUUAAUGAAAAAUAAAUAAAAGCUACCUUAGGGAUAACAGGAUAAUUUUGUUUUAGAGUUCUAAUCAAAUACAAAGUUUGUCACCUCUAUGUUGAAUUAAGAUAUCCAAGUAAUGCAGAAGUUACUAAGGGUAGGUCUGUUCGACCUUUAAAAUCUU
Molecule: ribosomal RNA, 570 nt
Filed under: Ectopleura wrighti
Lineage: Eukaryota; Metazoa; Cnidaria; Hydrozoa; Anthoathecata; Tubulariidae
Description: partial 16S ribosomal RNA
Rfam family: Bacterial large subunit ribosomal RNA
Source: RNAcentral